CACAACGCAGCCUGUUUCUUCCAAUUGAAUCAGCAGUGAAACAAACCAGCAGCCCGACAAACAAUGUAUAAACUCCACAGCAGAGAGGGAAGUGAAGAGAGAAGCUGAGAGAGACGUGAACACACCGGAAGCGACGAUGCUCCAUCCAGCAGCAGCUCCAUCACCGCAGGCUUCGAUGAAUCGUGCUUCAGGAGAACAUGGAGAACCGGCAGGGGACAAACACUGAGCAGAGCGUCUCGAGCGAGGCGCAUCGUGUCAGAGGUUGAUUGACGAGAAUGACGUCUGACGUGAGGACGAGGGGCCGACACCGUUUGACUGUGCAGCCAGAAUCUUCAAGUCACUGCGAGUCAGCACUUUCCACCAAAAACCUUUCAUUAAGAAUGCACGAACAGCGUCAGCUGUCGGCGGACAUCACACCAAAACCAGUCAGCGGCCUUCAGUCAGCGGGCGGCUGCGCGAAAGAUCAAGGAGGCCAAUUCACUGCCCGGCCGUCUUUGAACUGAAACACAGGGGCGACGAACAGGUUUCCACAGCACACAGUCACAGACAUUUUCUGUCAUAUCUAUACUACAGUGGUAGAUGGGCGUGCAUUGUGAUGAAGGGGAUAUGUAUACCUGGACGUGGCAAAAAGAACAAGCAAAUUAUUGUGCAAUUCCAUUCGGUAAAUAUUAGGAGUUGGUUUGUUGAGCUCAUCAGCUGGUACCACAGGGGGCAUUAUUGACGUAAUAAAAAGAAUAGCUACAUUUCUGUUUGUUGCAGUGACCUCAUUCUGUCAGAUCUGUUUGCGUCUGCCGCUACGUUUCGUUUUCUCUCAACGGACGUGUAAGUCACAUGAUUUCAUGCACGUCAGGAUUUUAGUGCGUUUCCACUGCACUUUGUCGUGUUUCGCAUUUUCUCCCCCCCAGUACAGAGUCUUUUCCACACCAAAAUAUUUGUUUGCAAUUGCGGCAUUUUCACUGCAAGUGCAGAUGGCACAUGGCUGCGAUGGGACCGCACCGUAGACUGGACACGAAGAUGGACGACAUGACAGCUCCCAAAAAAAGGGAAGCCAAAACAUCUUGAUUGCCCCCUGGUGGCUGGCGGCAGUAUAGGUCACAAACCCUGCAUCCUCCAUGUAAGAUGAUGGGAUAUGGACCAAAGUCACAAGUCUGAUGCACAUUAGAUAAAUGUUUCUGUCAUUUUUAGAUAGUUGUUAUCGUACUUAUGUAUGUUCAGGUGUUAAUUGUUCUGUUAAGUUUGUUUUUAAUUAGUUAUUUGAUGUGAUAAAAAUGGGGUGUAACGCCAUGAUUGACAGAUUGAAGAUUGAAGAUUCAAGAUGGUUUAUUUUGUCAUAUGCACAACAAUAACAGAAGCAGUCGUUUGCAAUGAAAUUCUUUUGUCUCAGGCUCCUUCAACAGCGCAAUAUAAAAGAAAAAAUAU
Scophthalmus maximus (turbot) is the source of this 1419-nucleotide long non-coding RNA. RefSeq lists it as uncharacterized. Lineage: Eukaryota; Metazoa; Chordata; Actinopteri; Pleuronectiformes; Scophthalmidae. The transcript is spliced from 3 exons. The record is from RefSeq and is a predicted model, not a curated record.